Long non-coding RNA from Oxyura jamaicensis (ruddy duck), 478 nucleotides. RefSeq lists it as uncharacterized. Lineage: Eukaryota; Metazoa; Chordata; Aves; Anseriformes; Anatidae. The transcript is spliced from 2 exons. The record is from RefSeq and is a predicted model, not a curated record.
AGAUCCAGCACGAGAAGGAGUCCUGUUUGCUGUCCCAGCUGGAAAAUCUGCACAUGGAAAUACAGAAAUAAGGGAAAGAAAGCCUCACCAGGCUUUCAGAGGAGCUGUUGAGAGUGGGCAGGUUGAUUGAGGAGAUGGAGAGGAAAUGCCAGCAGCCAGGCUGUGGAAUCCUGAAGGACAUUGACAACAACUUGAGCAGGUAGGUGGUCCUUCUAUCAAAACCAAGCAUCAUCUCAGACCAAGUUUGUGGCCAGUGCUGGUGGCUCCCUGUGUGAUCCAAACACGGGAUGAAGCAAAUUAGAGAACAUCUGCAAGGGUGAUGUGCGAUCACAUUGUCUAUUUUGCUGACUUUAUUGUGCUCUACCAAGUCUUUUUUCUGCCAGCUUCUUUCAAAGGGGAGAAAAUCCACCCACGGUUCCUAGUGGAUGGCUGCACUCACCUCGACCUCCUUCCUUAAGGUACAGGAAAAAAAAAAAAA